Molecule: ribosomal RNA, 251 nt
Filed under: uncultured prokaryote
Description: partial 16S rRNA
Rfam family: Bacterial small subunit ribosomal RNA
Source: RNAcentral
ACGGAGGAUGCGAGCGUUAUCCGGAUUUAUUGGGUUUAAAGGGUGCGUAGGUGGACUGUUUAGUCAGUGGUGAAAUACUGAUGCUCAACGUUAGCAUUGCCGUUGAAACUGACAGUCUUGAGAGUGAUUGAGGCAGGCGGAAUGCGUGGUGUGGCGGUAAAAAGCAUAGAAAUCACACAGAACCACAAUGGCGAGGGCAUCUACCAAAGCCACAACUGACACUGAAGCACGAAAGCGUGGGGAUCAAACAG